AGAGGGAAGAGCGAGCUAGCGCGAGCCGGGAAGGAAGCCACCAGGCCAAGGCGGUGGAACGCGCGCUCCGAGGGAGCUCAGAGCCGAGCGGGAGGACUGUCAGCUUCCAUCCAGCCCCCGGGCUCUUGCCCCCAACUCCACUGGAGCGCUGAGCUCGGAACUUGAAAAUUCUCUGCUCCCCAGGCUUCCCCCGACUCUCAUCUCCCUUGCCCUGCGGAGGCUGGGGCUCUUCCCUGUCCUCCGGCCCCCUGCGCUUGGUGGGUAUUUUUCCUUGUUUUCCUCUGAUCCAGUCGCACCAGGUGUUGGGAUUUCAGCAAGUUUUGAGGUGCAGAGGUGGUUUGCUUUUUUGUUUGUUUUACUCCGAAUCCCCUUAUGUUUUUCUUGGUAAGGCCUUGAAAAUAAAUCUGUAUGAAAGCA
This 417-nucleotide small RNA is filed under the name Pan troglodytes (chimpanzee). RNAcentral describes it as "processed transcript". The record is from RNAcentral. Lineage: Eukaryota; Metazoa; Chordata; Mammalia; Primates; Hominidae.